CAUCUCUUGCAAGUACCCAUCUUAUUUGGCCUCUAGGGAAUGAAGCCUCACAAUGAUAUGAUGUUGGCUCCAUUGCACUUAGUUAAGUCAUUCCCACCAUGCAAGUUCGAGUAGGGGUUAAAGAACAACCUCACAAUGAUAUGAUGUUGAUCAUUCUCGUGGCCUACCUUCACAACAUCAUGUAUGCAUAUAGAACUCCUUCUGAGUGUAAGCACGCACUUUGUACUCCCCAUGAUAGGGUGAAGUCGGUGUACGGGUCACAAACGAUCGGAGCCUACCACGGUGGAAGGCCACGAAAGAGUGUUCAAAGUACUCUCACGCUUAUGAACUUAAUAAUGGUUUGGUUGAGGGUUUUAGGUCUCAUCACAUAUAAGCAUGCAUUUUAAUCUUAUUAAAACAAUUUGGUCAUAUUACAACUAUUGGUCCAUGUGAUUGAUUUAGUUGUAUAUGAUACUCCCACUAUGCUUGUAAAACGGUUUGUAAAGCAAGAGUAUAUGGUACUACUAACAUAAGGUUUGCAUUCAUUGAUGGACUAUAUAGUUGCCUUAGGGCCUUAGGAUGACUAUGAACCUUUGAUUUGAUCCAACAUGAGCCUAGUGUUGAAUCUCGAUCUAGGGAUGGUGAUUGAUUUUAGUUACGCAUUUAAUCACAUUAAGGCGUGUUUUCUUAUUGGGCGUUAGACCCUCUACUUCAUUUUCAUGCGUAUCAAAUAAAGCAAGAAAGAAGUACUUCAAAGUAAAGAAGAGCUUAUGCUCUUUUACAACAUUUGAUCAAAACAAAUUACUUUAAAGUAAAGAAGAGCUUAUGCUCUUUUACAAUAUUUGAUCAUAUCAAAUUACAACCAAAAUCUAAUCUACACAUUCCCAUGGUUCAAACAAAUUUGAGACGGCCUUUCACGUAGCUCAAUUAUCGUAGGCUUAGGUUCAUAAUCACCCUUUCUUUAAUUAAUUAACGCUUUAACUAAUUAAACUUGAAUGCAACAUUUUCAUUUGGUUUUUGUAUCCAUAGAAUUGAUUUAAAUGAAGCUAAAUGAAAUGAAAAUCCAAUUCUCUUUUACAGAUACAAAACUAUUUUGUUCUCAACUAAUUUGGGCCAAAAAACAGUAACCUCAACCAUUGGGCUAUAUUGCAAAACACAAACUUUUGAGGUCACUUUGUAAAACACAAAAGUCCACUAUUUCAUGUAAUUACAACUAGAACCCAAAAAUUUCAUCAAAUACAAAAACUUCAUUAAAGGAGCAAAACAUUUUGUGCUUUAGUGAUUUUGGGCCUUUACGUAAAAAUGUAAACUUUCGGGUCAAAGUACAAAUACACAAAAGUAUCAAAACUUUAUGUAAUUGCAUAAAAGCUCCAAAAGUACCCUAUUUAAUAGGGUGGCCAGUUUUGGAUGAGAGAAGGUGUCAUAAAACUUUUGAAUUUUUCAACAAAAGUGAAAGGUGAUGGGUAGGUUUGAAAAAGUGAUUUUCAUAAAACAUGGUUCCUUGAAACAAGGAAAAGGUGUAAGUGAUUGGUAUGGUGUGAAUAGUAGAAAAGGUAUGGGUAUUGAUUGAAAAAUCAAAUCAUCCAUCACUAAAAAAAACUUUAUGUAACAACCAAAAACUUUGAAUCAAAAUACCCAACCUUUUUGUUCUUGCCAAAAACAUAACAAGAACAAUGAAGAACAUCCAUGAAAA
Molecule: long non-coding RNA, 1672 nt
Filed under: Malus domestica (apple)
Lineage: Eukaryota; Viridiplantae; Streptophyta; Magnoliopsida; Rosales; Rosaceae
Description: long non-coding RNA (MDOM_LNC013294)
Source: RNAcentral